Non-coding RNA from Angomonas deanei, 62 nucleotides. The record is from Rfam. NCBI's taxonomy places the organism in Eukaryota, Euglenozoa, Kinetoplastea, Trypanosomatida, Trypanosomatidae.
AGCAAUGUCGCUAUGCGGCUUUAUACAUUCCUAUAAAGUUCGGUACGAAACAUCGGCGAGAU